This 407-nucleotide ribosomal RNA is filed under the name bacterium enrichment culture clone ALO1_GLFRUDD03G8L70. Its description in RNAcentral is "bacterial SSU rRNA". It matches the Rfam family "Bacterial small subunit ribosomal RNA", at positions 9 to 416 of the family's 1533-position model. The record is from RNAcentral.
GAGUUUGAUCAUGGCUCAGAUUGAACGCUGGCGGCAUGCCUUACACAUGCAAGUCGAACGGCAGCACGGGAGCUUGCUCCUGGUGGCGAGUGGCGAACGGGUGAGUAAUGCAUCGGAACGUAUCCUGGAGUGGGGGAUAACGUAGCGAAAGUUACGCUAAUACCGCAUAUUCUGUGAGCAGGAAAGCGGGGGACCUUCGGGCCUCGCGCUCUUGGAGCGGCCGAUGUCGGAUUAGCUAGUUGGUGAGGUAAAGGCUCACCAGGGCGACGAUCCGUAGCAGGUCUGAGAGGAUGAUCUGCCACACUGGAACUGAGACACGGUCCAGACUCCUACGGGAGGCAGCAGUGGGGAAUUUUGGACAAUGGGGGCAACCCUGAUCCAGCCAUGCCGCGUGAGUGAAGAAGGCC